Molecule: ribosomal RNA, 993 nt
Filed under: Triticum aestivum (bread wheat)
Lineage: Eukaryota; Viridiplantae; Streptophyta; Magnoliopsida; Poales; Poaceae
Description: partial small subunit ribosomal RNA
Source: RNAcentral
AUGCCUCUCGUUCGCCCCUCUUCCAUCCAUACCCAUGUUGAUGGCUUCUAUAAAGCCCUAUUUACCCCCACCCCUCGGGGUGGGGCUAGUCUUGCCCCCGACAUUUGGUCGGGUGAUCAAUUGGUCUCUGACGAGGCCAACACGGCAUUAGUGGCCCCCUUCGCCGAAGAUGAAGUCCUCGCGGCCAUUAAAGGGAUGAACCCCUCUUCGGCCCCGGGCCCGGAUGGCCUGUCAGUAACGUUCUUCAAAAUGUUCUGGCCGACUAUCAAGACGGAGGUCAUGGCCUUGUUUGAGGAAUUGUAUUUGGGAUCUAUGGAUCUUGGGCGUCUCAACUAUGGAAUCGUGACCCUCAUUCCGAAGGUCCCGGGCGCUUCCGACAUCCGCCAGUUCCGGCCUAUCACAGUGAUUAAUGUGAUAUUCCGGAUCCUAGCCAAAGGGUACGCCAAUAGGGUGACCCUGCUCGCUGACGCGAUUACCCAUCCGAACCAAUCCGCCUUCAUUCAAGGCAGAUUUAUUCUGGAUGGGGUGCUGGUAUACCACGAAGUCCUUCACGAAGUCCAGAUGAAACGCCAUCGGGCUAUCUUUCUGAAGUUGGACUUUCACAAAGUGUAUGACAUGGUCCACUGGCCAUUCUUGCGGGAAGUGCUGCUUCGCAAAGGCUUUGAUGACCGUUGGGUGACCCGUGUCAUGCAGCUUGUCUCCUGUGGCCGGACCGUCGUGAACAUCAAUGGCGACAUUGGGCCCUACUUCCCCACACUUUGUGGGGUCCGUCAGGGUGACCCGUUCUCGCCAUUCCUGUUCAACAUGGUAGUGGACACCCUGGCAUCCAUCUUGGAUAAGGCCAAGGAUGCGGGCCAUAUCCACGGCAUAGUCCCCCACCUAGUUGGAGGGGGAGGGGUCUCCCUCCUUCAAUAUGCAGAUGACACGAUUAUAAUGGUGGAGGGCUCCGUCCAGGAUAUUGCUAACCUGAAGUUCCUCCUCCUGUGCUUCUAA